GAGUAGGUGAGUCACUGUGGGUGUAGGCUUUAAGACCCUCAUCCUAGCUGCCUGGAAGCCAGUCUUCUCCUAGCAGCCUUCAGAUGAAGAUGUAGAACUCUCAGCUCCUCCUGCACCAUGCCUGCCUGGAUGCUGCCAUGCUCCUGCCUUGAUGAUAAUGGACUGAACCUCUGAACCUGUAAGCCAGCCCCAAUUAAAUGUUGUCCUUUAUAAGAGUUGCUAUGGUCAUGGUGUCUCUUCACAGCAAUAGACACCCUAACUAAGAUAGAUAUUGGUUGGUUAUUCCCACAGCCUUUAGGCCACCAAUGU
Molecule: long non-coding RNA, 309 nt
Filed under: Androctonus crassicauda
Lineage: Eukaryota; Metazoa; Arthropoda; Arachnida; Scorpiones; Buthidae
Source: RNAcentral